GGGUCCGGACACACUGAGGAUUGACAGAUAUACGCUCAUUGCUGCGUGCUUCGGCGCGUGCUUUGAGCUGAAAGAUGCUAGUUCUUUCAUGAUUAUGUGAUAGGUGGUGCAUGGCCGUUCUUAGUUCGUGGAGUGACCUGUCUGCUUAAUUGCGUAUCAAUAAUAGAGACCUAGUAUACGCGUGGAUUUCGCGUGGUAGUGACCCCCUGUUUAACGACAGGCGUGUGUCGCACACGCGUACCUACGCACUGGUCUCAGAUAGCAACGAACGUGACCGUAUUCUAUUGUUGCAGUGAAAUGUGCCUUCUGGGUACGACCCACUGCUUAGUAUAUGUACGUGUUUCGGCGCGAACAAUAUACAUUAAACUAUAGAGACCGCUGUUUCUUCUUUAAACCAGAGGAAGGAUACGGCAAUAACAGGUCUGUGAUGCCCUCAGAUGUUCCGGGCUGCACACGUGCUACAAUGAUCAUUGCACUGUGCAUCUAACCCAAUGUGCGUGGACGCCGCAUGCAUGUGCCUUCGGGUACACGCAUUGCUGUUGCGACCACGCCGAACCUACUUCGAAAGUAAAAUUUCUCAGUGGGU
This 586-nucleotide ribosomal RNA is filed under the name Ammonia sp. genotype T2. RNAcentral describes it as "bacterial SSU rRNA". The stretch from base 1 to 462 matches the Rfam family "Eukaryotic small subunit ribosomal RNA", at positions 1220 to 1501 of the family's 1831-position model. Lineage: Eukaryota; Foraminifera; Rotaliida; Rotaliidae. The record is from RNAcentral.